Molecule: ribosomal RNA, 172 nt
Filed under: Talismania filamentosa
Lineage: Eukaryota; Metazoa; Chordata; Actinopteri; Alepocephaliformes; Alepocephalidae
Description: partial 12S rRNA
Source: RNAcentral
CACCGCGGUUAUACGAGAGGCCCCAGUUGACGGGUGCGGCGUAAAGAGUGGUUAAGGAAGAAUCCGACUAAAGUCGAAGACCCCCUAGGCCGUCAUACGCUCCUGAGGGUACGAAGCCCCAUCACGAAAGUAGCUUUACUAAAGCCCACCUGACCCCACGAUAGCUGAGACA